GAGAAGCUUCCCCAAAAUCCAUGAGUAACAAAGCAUAAGACCACAUGCAUAUAUGUGAUUCAUCUAAUCUUUUAAAAAUUAGAUAUGCAAUUACACAUCGAAACACUUGUAGAUCACCAUGAUUAGAACCCCCAGCAAUAUGUUGAAGUUAACCAAAUAUGAAACAACUCCUUUCUAUGGCAAGUUUAACAUUCGAUGUGGAUUGCAGUCAGAACACAAGACAAACAUUUGGGCAAGGUGGAACUGCAUCUUAUGAAGUUAGACAUAGUUUAUGUGUGUAUUCACAAGACAAACACACAUAAAUACAUAUGCUAUGUGUGAAUGAAUGUACUCAAAGAGAAAAGAAAUCAGAAAUAAUGAUCACAGGUUAUACGUCUUGCAUUAAACUUGCCAACAUUUUGGAAUUUCAUAUUCAUUUCAGUAUCAUACAAUAUAUUUGUACAACAUAAAAACGAUGCAUAGGUAACUUAUCCAGAAAAAUAACAUAUAAAUGGCACACCAACAGUGGUGAUGCAUAACAUAUAUAUUAAAUAUUUGACUCAAAAGAGUGGAAUGGUAGCCUUGUUUCUUGUAAUGGCUAUAUUUUUUUAAAUUUCAAAAAUGCUAGGCCACCAAGGCCAAUAUAAUGGACACAAUGAUCAAUUACAAUGGUCAGGACCAGUGCUUGCUCAUGCUAAUACAUAUCAGCAUGCUGAUACAUUUCGCGACAUGCAACAACAAAGCUCUUCAUUACAGAAAACGUUUUUUCAUGGUCACUUGUAAGCCAUAUUGAGCUGCUUCAUCUAAUAUAACACUCCACAAACAUCAAAUUGCUUCACAGAAUGAACUGUACACUCCUGCUGCUUGUUUUGUUCAUCAUACCCAACAAAAAAACACAUCUUCAUUUUCAAAUCUUUCUUUCUUUUUUUCCUUUUUUUUUUUUGGUGUGUGGGUGGGUGGGGGGGAAUUAACUUUGAAUCAUUGCUUGUGGAUCAAACAUAGAAGUACGUGUAAGAGUAUAGUUGCAUCGUGAGGGAGCAUGGCUGAGAGAGGGGCUAGGGCGAGUGCGAUGGAUCAACACAUGACAGAACCUCCCCAGGUAGGGAGCACAUUCCAUAAUUUUUAAUUUAUAAAUAUAACUUUUUAAAAAUAGAAAUUUUAUUAAAAACAAAAAACUAAUAAUCCAACAGAAUGCGAUAAAAAAAGGGCACAAAGAAAAACGCAAUUAUUUAUGAAUUUGAUUUUAUUCAAUUAAUAAACAACUUUUAAAUUUCAUUUGAGAUGUAAUUAAUGUAACAAUAAUCUCAUAAUAUAGAACAAAAAAGCCAGUAACAACACAAGGAAUCUAAUUUUAUAUUGAUAAAAAUCUGCUUCAUUUAUAAUUUUACACUUGCACAGCAUCCAAAAGCAUAACAAGUUGCUUUAUUUGCAGUUUUACACUUUACAACAUCCAAAACCACGAGAGAGAAAGAGAGAGUUUGAUAGAAUCUAAGAUCCACAUGAAUGAUCUUCUUAGCCUCUUGUUGCCCCAUCGGUUGGCUAAGACUGAGCCCUAAACACUGGGGAUCCAAAUGCCAUGGAGAUCCCUAAUUGAGUACUGGAGCAGGACCAGAGAGCAGGAUCGAUACCUAAGUUUGGAGAUCCUGGUAAAUGUCUAAGAAACAAAAUAGGAGGGAACGUACAGCCACAACUAAUAUAGCUAAAGAAGAUAUAACAGAAUUGGUUGCUUCCAGUAUGGGGUCUUAAACAACAAAAAUGCCACCCAAUAUAAUUUGGAGAAACUUAAUCAUAAUAUGCACUGCAAUAACGAUCCAUCCCAAUAAUAAUUAUGGGUUGCUGCAUGACUCAGGUUGUAAACAUCAUAUUCCUUUUUUGUAAAUUCUGUAUGCAUAUUUCCUCAUGUUUUUUGCACAUAUAUAUCAUUAUACUUACUACAUUUAGUAGUCAAAUGGACACAUCAAGCAAAAGUUCCUGAUAUUUUAAGUCAUAAUGUACUCUGCCCAUGAAAUGCAUUUGUAUGCUUAAAAGCUAACUCAUUCUACACAAGCUUCCAUGAAAAUAUGAGGAAAUGCAGAAUUCUCCAGCAAAAAGUAGAUUGAUAUUAUCAACCCAUAGCUCAACCAAAUGGUGCUUGUUCCCACAACCUCAAGGUUGUGUUUUUGAAGCAAGCUAAUUAAAGAAAAUAAAAACAGAUAGUGCUAUAGGUCAUCCAAAAAAGGUAGAAAUAAAGAAUUAUCACGAAGACAUUAAAUCACAAAUAAUCAAUUGCUCGAAUCAUGCUAAUUUAUUUUGUACGUUUGUCCCAAAUAUGGGACAAAUUGCUGUAGAUAUUAUGGCCAAACUCAGUCUCGAAGUACCACAAAUUAGAAGCAUUUUAACACUAACAUAUCCCAUUCUUCUAAUGGUGUUUCAAAAUUCCUAAUGCACAGGGGUGUAAGUCAUCUUAAUUCCUAAAUGUGUGCCUUCAGCUUGCAGUAAAUUUCAGUUCCUCCGAGCUGCUACAGUUGACCAUAUGUUUGUCUUUGACUUGCAUUAGACCCAAUCAUUUCACACACUAUUUCAAUUAGUUAAUUCUGUAAUAUUUCCACAACUCAACUUUUUUAAGCCACAAAACUUUCAUGGCCACCAUAUUGUGCUACAUUACCAACUGCAAGUCCUUCCUCAAUAUUCUUUUCUUCAAUAUUGCUUAUGUCUGCCAGAUUACUUCUUCUCAAGUUCACAUGAAGCAAUUCUUCCUCAAUAUUCACACUCACAGUUGACUUCCUAACUUCUAAAAAUACAUAAUAUAGAUAUUUCUCAUAACAAUUUAUUGUAAGAUUAAUCUUCAAAGAAGUCAAAUAAUAAAAGAAGAGUUGUAGAUAUAGUUCAGGACAGUAUCACAUAAGACUCAACGUUUAGGUAGGCCCAAAAAUUAUUUAAUCUGUAGGAUGGAGUUUCGUGCAUUCACUUUUAGUUAUGUUCCAAAUGUUCAAACAAGUAUGACUUCCAACCUCUUCUCAUAGUUAAGAGAUAAUAUUCCCCGGAAGAUGUAUAUGGAACCUGUACAAUAACUCCCUGGAAUUCUUUACAUCCACUCUUAAGACCAAAACCAUAUCAGCAAGGCAAUGCCCACUACCAUAGUACCAUGUACUGAUCUUGCAUUAUACAUAUCAACAAAAGCCAUCACAUGUGUUUAAAUGACAAAUAAUUCUUCAAAAUUGUAGAUCUCACAAAAAAUAAGUAUUUAAUGAAACCCAUUUACUCAAACAUGCUAAUGACAAACUUUAAGUGUUUCCAUCUACUGAUAACCAUGACAAACUUUAAGUGUUUCCAUCUAAUGAUAACCAGGUUUAUUGUAUGCAAAACACCACAAAGAAACAUGGGAGAAAAUUAAAAUCAAACUGCAAACAUUGGAUACUGAAUCCAAAAAAUUAGGACAAACUUCAAACCACCUAUUAUUUCAUGUGAGCCAAAACAAAAAAAAUUAAACAUACUGGAAGUCAAGUAGAGAAAUAUCUUCAACAUAAUUCAAAUUUAGUAGUCCACAAAUUUCAUCUCAAGGAUCAUCAUCAGGUAGGUGCUAUGAGAUUAUUCAGAAAAAAAAAAAAGAGAGAGAGAAAAGAGAUAAAAAUCAAUAACUCAAAAGCAAUAAAAUUCAAAGGCAUCAAACCAAACAAUCCCACAGUGUUUCACCGAAAGCAAGGGGAAACCAAAUAUAAAACUAUCAAGAACUACAGUUUCCACAAAUGACAAAGAACUUAACUGUACACCAAGGCCCGAUCUAAACACUAGUAAACCAAACCAUAGACAACAAAACCAGAUUUCAAACAUGGGGAAAGCGAUUCACAAAAUCAAAAAACACAGGAAACUAACUCCAACAAAUAAGAAUACAUCUCAAAACCGCAACAAAACAAUACCAAGCAAUAGAAACUGUUAAUUCCGCUAAAUGAAUAGAAAACUUCCACAAAACAAGCUACAAGAGAUAGCCAAAACAGAGGAUCAGCUACAGAAGAUAGCCAAAACAGAGGAUAAUAAAGAUCUCAAAAGAGCUAAAGAGGAGUAAGAUUAAGUGUAGAUAGCAGAGGCGGAGUGUAGAUAGCAGAGGCGGCCAACCUUAGGUUGCAGAAACGCUAUUAAGCAAAACCCUAAAAAUCUAGAAGAC
This 4120-nucleotide long non-coding RNA is filed under the name Amborella trichopoda. RNAcentral describes it as "long non-coding RNA (ATRI_LNC004644)". The record is from RNAcentral. Lineage: Eukaryota; Viridiplantae; Streptophyta; Magnoliopsida; Amborellales; Amborellaceae.